Molecule: long non-coding RNA, 760 nt
Organism: Pogoniulus pusillus (Red-fronted tinkerbird)
Lineage: Eukaryota; Metazoa; Chordata; Aves; Piciformes; Lybiidae
Exons: 3
Source: RefSeq, a predicted model, not a curated record
ACACCUCAAUGGAAAUGCCACUAUCUGAAGGGGACCCACAGGAAGGCUGGAGAGGGACUGUUUAGAAGGGCUUGGAGUGAGAGGACGAGGGGCAACAGUUUGAAGCAUCCUUAACGUGAUUCUACCUGGCAGAGAGAAGCAUUUGCUUCCCAGCACAGCUUUCUAGAAGGAACUAUGAAGCAGUCCAUGUCUCCAGCUUGCUAAACCUUUGUUGCCUAGGUUUCUGGGAGAAAUUAACUCAGGAGUAAGCCAAUAAGCUCUGGAUGCCAAAACUAAAGGAGAAGGAAAAUAUCUUCAGCAGUAAAACAUUCCCCAUUUUUACUGAAAAGCCUCUGUUUGGGAAGCAGGCCAGAGGAGAGCAAUCUGCAAGAGGUACAGAAAGGUGCUGAGCUCUGCAAGUCUUCCCUGCAAGUCAGCAAUCCCUCCUUCCCAAUUAAUAAUUCCAAAAUGCAUCUCAUCCAUUAUCAUCACUUAGCCUUCUUUCUGAAUUCUGGCUGGAGCUAGCAACAGUUCCCUGGAUCAUCUGUUGAUGUUUCUAAACCUCCCCAGGAACAGGCAGCAAAGUUUUGCAGCCUCUGGCAUCUGGCAGCCGUGAAGCUGACUGGCUUCAUUUCUCACGUCCCCGGGGAGGGAGAAGCUCGGAAGCUCUGCUGCGUAGAUCCAGGAACUGAAUUGUGUCUCUGCAGUGGAACAGGGACAGGAAAGCUCAGCUGCAUUAACACAGAUCUUUCACAGACUGGCAGUAAAUAAAGUUGUUAGG